CCUACGGGUGGCAGCAGUGAGGAAUAUUGGUCAAUGGGCGAGAGCCUGAACCAGCCAAGUCGCGUGAGGGAGUACUGCCCUAUGGGUUGUAAACCUCUUUUGUCGGGGAGCAAAAGCCGGACGUGUCCGGCUGUGAGAGUACCCGAAGAAAAAGCAUCGGCUAACUCCGUGCCAGCAGCCGCGGUAAUACGGGGGAUGCGAGCGUUAUCCGGAUUUAUUGGGUUUAAAGGGUGCGCAGGCGGAUGUUUAAGUCAGCGGUAAAAUCGUGGGGCUCAACCCCAUCCAGCCGUUGAAACUGGGGAUCUAGAGUGUGCGAGAGGUAUGCGGAAUGCGUGGUGUAGCGGUGAAAUGCAUAGAUAUCACGCAGAACCCCGAUUGCGAAGGCAGCAUACCGGUGCACAACUGACGCUCAGGCACGAAAGCGUGGGUAUCGAACAGGAUUAGAUACCCCUGUAGUC
RNAcentral lists this ribosomal RNA (458 nucleotides) under uncultured bacterium. RNAcentral's name for it is "partial 16S ribosomal RNA". It matches the Rfam family "Bacterial small subunit ribosomal RNA", at positions 338 to 795 of the family's 1533-position model. The record is from RNAcentral.